GACGAACGCUGGCGGCGUGCCUAAUACAUGCAAGUGGGACGCAAGGAAACACACUGUGCUUGCACACCGUGUUUUCUUGAGUCGCGAACGGGUGAGUAACGCGUAGGUAACCUGCCUAUUAGCUGGGGAUAACUAUUGGAAACGAUAGCUAAUACCGCAUAAUAUUAAUUAUUGCAUGAUAAUUGAUUGAAAGAUGCAAGCGCAUCACUAGUAGAUGGACCUGAGUUGUAUUAGCUAGUUGGUAAGGUAAGAGCUUACCAAGGCGACGAUACAUAGCCGACCUGAGAGGGUGAUCGGCCAAACUGGGAAUGAGACAAGGCACAGACUGAUACGGGAGGCAGAAGUAGGGAAUCAUCGGCAAUGGACGAAAGUCUGACCGAGCAACGCCGCGUGAGUGAAGAAGGUAUUCGGAUCGGAAAGCUAUGUUGUAAGUCAAGAACGUGUGUGAGAGUGGAAAGUUCACACAGUGACGGUAGCUAACCAGAAAGGGACGGCUAACUACGUG
RNAcentral lists this ribosomal RNA (505 nucleotides) under uncultured bacterium. RNAcentral's name for it is "partial 16S ribosomal RNA". It matches the Rfam family "Bacterial small subunit ribosomal RNA", at positions 28 to 507 of the family's 1533-position model. The record is from RNAcentral.